This 1296-nucleotide ribosomal RNA is filed under the name Triticum aestivum (bread wheat). RNAcentral's name for it is "partial small subunit ribosomal RNA". The record is from RNAcentral. Lineage: Eukaryota; Viridiplantae; Streptophyta; Magnoliopsida; Poales; Poaceae.
AUGCUGGUGAUGGUGCGCCCCGCCCCAAGCGCUGGGCCGCUAGUCGCGAUCCCCUGCCGCUGCCGGAUCACCGUUGCCCCUCCCCGGAUGGUUCGCGCCGCGAGGCCGAGCUCCGGGAGGAGAUCCUCCGCGGCAAGGCCACCGCCUCGGCUGCUGGGUCCGGCUGGCGCGGGUCUCGCGACCGCGACCGUGACCCUUCGCCCCCUUGGCGUGGCAGGGACCGUGAGCGUGAGCCCGACCGCCGGUUGCCCGCUCGGCGCUGCCGCUCACCUGCCUGGUCCGCGCGUGAGCCGGCCUCUCCGCCCCGCCGUUAUGAUCCUCCUCGGCGGCAUCCGCAGUCCCCCCCCCCCGGCCGGUCCGUCCAACAACUCCAAUCGCAAUGGACGGGGUGCUUUUGCUAAGAAGAAGAAGAAGCGUGGUGCUCUUGCUCACCCGAGCGGUCCGGCCUCCUCGGUCUCCAACCCCGUGGUUGUCGCGGCGCCGUCUCCGGCGGCGACGGCCAUCUGCUUCAACUGUGGGAUCGCCGGCCACUGCCAGACCGUCUGCACUCAGCCUCCGGCUUGCUUCCACUGCAAGCGGACGGACCACCCCACGGCGCUCUGCCCUGACCACCAGCCCAUCGGGGCGCUUGGGCUAUUCGGGUAUGCCCUCAACGACCUGGGCUUCUUUCAGAUGGAUAUCCCCGAGGCCCGGGCGACCCCGCCCAUGACCGCGCUCAUCUCGGUCUUGGAUGGCAAGACGGCGUCUCCGGCCAUCAUCUCUGAGGAGCUUCGCCACCUGUUCAACCCGGACUGGGAUUGGGAGGUGACCCCGAUCUCAGACCGGGAGUUUACUGCGACGUUCCCUGACCCGGUCAGCCUCCGCUACGGCACUCACAGCGCCAGACUCACGCUCGCCCUCAACCAGCUCUCCGUCCGCAUCUCCGUCCCAUCUGUGGACCCGCUGGCAGUCGCCACCCUGUCCACGGUUUGGGUGCAGAUUCGUGGACUCCCUCCCCCGGCCAGGGACGAGGGGGUCAUCCGUGGUCUGUCCCGUCUCCUGGGCAAGUUUGUGGCUGUUGAUGCGGCGUCUCUACCCAAGGGCCCUGCUGUGCGUGUUCAGAUCAAGUCCCCAGACCCCACCAAGCUCAAGACGACGAUCGGGAUGUUCUUCAACGACGUCGGGUAUGACCUUCGCAUCUCGGUUGAGGGUGGGACUCCCACUGAUCCCCUCAGCCCGGAUGACAGAGGGGGUUCUGACCCGGCUGCGGGGUCGGGUGGUGGCGCUGCCCCGCACGACUCCCCCCACCGUCCCUGA